CAAUGGCGAAAAAAAUGAAAACAGCAGAAGAGCCUUUGAGCAAAUGUGCGAUGGGCUUUUAGAAGAAGAGAUCAAGGUUUUCCAUCAGUGUGAAACAUGGACGGGCUAUUCUCCGGAAAAUUAUGAAAAUUAAUACGCUCUAUAAAUGCUUUGUAAAAGCGAAGAGGAAAGCUGCUCAAGUAUAAAUAGGAGGAGGCAUUUCACGCGAAGAAGAACAAGAAGAUCGUUAUUUACACCGGCUUCAGAACCACGAAUUUUCAAUAGCAUCACCAAC
Molecule: long non-coding RNA, 274 nt
Organism: Pogonomyrmex barbatus (red harvester ant)
Lineage: Eukaryota; Metazoa; Arthropoda; Insecta; Hymenoptera; Formicidae
Source: RefSeq, a predicted model, not a curated record